RNAcentral lists this ribosomal RNA (241 nucleotides) under uncultured bacterium. RNAcentral describes it as "partial 16S ribosomal RNA". It matches the Rfam family "Bacterial small subunit ribosomal RNA", at positions 523 to 763 of the family's 1533-position model. The record is from RNAcentral.
AUACGUAGGGAGCGAGCGUUGUCCGGAAUUACUGGGCGUAAAGGGUGCGUAGGCGGCAUGGCAAGUCAGAUGUGAAAUUCCCGGGCUUAACUCGGGGGGUGCAUUUGAAACUGCUGAGCUUGAGUGCAGGAGAGGAAAGCGGAAUUCCUAGUGUAGCGGUGAAAUGCGUAGAUAUUAGGAGGAACACCAGUGGCGAAGGCGGCUUUCUGGACAGUAACUGACACUGAGGUACGAAAGUAGU